AGAGAGAGACAUGCGCGCAUAUCAAUAAGCGGAGGAAAAGAAACUAACAAGGAUUCCCCUAGUAACGGCGAGUGAAGCGGGAAGAGCUCAAAUUUGAAAUCUUAAAGGGUUUCCCUUUACGAAUUGUAGUUUAAAGAAGUGUUUUCUGUUGAGGUUUUGGUAAAAGUUCUUUGGAAUAGGACAUCAUAGAGGGUGAGAAUCCCGUAUUUGACCUUUACUUUCAACUUUGUGAUACACUUUCAAAGAGUCGGAUUGUUUGGGAAUGCAGUCCAAAAUGGGUGGUAAAUUUCAUCUAAAGCUAAAUAUUGGCGAGAGACCGAUAGCGAACAAGUACCGUGAGGGAAAGAUGAAAAGAACUUUGAAAAGAGAGUUAAACAGUACGUGAAAUUGUCAAAAGGGAAGCGUUUGACACCAGUGUUGUUUUUCUGAAAAUCAAUUAAAGAACUGUUUAUGCUAAGCUUGUUUAGACUUUAUCAGCUAUCUGUUUAGUUUUGAGCUUUUCUUUAAUGCACUUUUCAGUUAACAAGUCAACAUCAAUUUCUUUUGCUGUAAAAAAGCUUGAGGAAGGUGGCUUGAGAUUCGUCUUAAGUGUUUAUAGCCUCUUGCCUAUGCAGUCGGAGAGAUUGAGGUCUGCAGCGUAGAUCCUUCGGGGCUGAAUGCAUUUGUGCUAAGUUAUAACAUUUUAUAGACAACUUGUUGACUGAUGAUUUGUCUUGUAGCUUACUCGCUUAUGCUAUUUUACCUACGCUUAGGAUGUUGACGCAUGAGAUAUACGC
This 776-nucleotide ribosomal RNA is filed under the name uncultured Neocallimastigales. RNAcentral describes it as "partial large subunit ribosomal RNA". It matches the Rfam family "Eukaryotic large subunit ribosomal RNA", at positions 23 to 647 of the family's 3401-position model. The record is from RNAcentral. Lineage: Eukaryota; Fungi; Neocallimastigomycota; Neocallimastigomycetes; Neocallimastigales.